AAAAGCUCUUAUGAAAUGGGCCAACACGCUGUUCGCCGCCAUAAGACUUGAUUUUUCUCAUGUUCAUAUCUUUAAUGAAUAGCCUUGGAGCUCUAGAUACACAAAGAGGGGAUUCAGCCAUCUAAUCGUCUGAGAUCAACGAGUUCCAUUUAUACGCCCAUUCUUCACCGGUUUAGAGAGUAAACUUCGGCAGAACUCCGGUCAAGCGCUAUCGAAU
RNAcentral lists this unclassified non-coding RNA (217 nucleotides) under Hevea brasiliensis (rubber tree). Lineage: Eukaryota; Viridiplantae; Streptophyta; Magnoliopsida; Malpighiales; Euphorbiaceae. The record is from RNAcentral.